ACCCUUGUGGAGGAGGACGCCGAAGGUGGGGCUAAUGACUGGGGUGAAGUCGUAACAAGGUAGCCGUACCGGAAGGUGCGGCUGGAUCACCUCCUAACAGGGAGACAACAAAAUGUUUAAUAUUAUUAUUUUGUCACCUUAGGUCGAUCGGUAUCUCACGUUCUUAAUUUAUUAAGAAUUUCAUUUCCUAAGUUUUUCUAGGUCACACCCAUUAUUUUCCUGGGCCAUUAGCUCAGGUGGUUAGAGCGCACCCCUGAUAAGGGUGAGGUCCCUGGUUCAAGUCCAGGAUGGCCCAUAUCUCUAUGUUGGGGGUAUAGCUCAGUUGGUAGAGCGCCUGCUUUGCAAGCAGGAUGUCAGCGGUUCGAGUCCGCUUACCUCCACUGAUUACCACCUCUUCCAUAAUCUGUAGAAAGGAAAAUUUUUUGAGUUGUGAUCAUUAUUCUGAACGAAUCUAGCUUCCUAAUGAAAUUAUUAAGAUGCUGGACUCAUUGAAUUAAUUUCAUUGUUUUCAGAGAACCUUGACAACUGCAUAGAUUAUUUUAAAGACAAUAAGCAUCUUUAAUGAUGCAGAUUUAUUAUUUUUGCAAAUGCAUUAAUAACAAUUCUAUUAAGCUGAUGCUUCAAUUAUGAAGUUAUUGGUCAAGCUACAAAGGGCUCACGGAGGAUACCUAGGCACACAGAGGCGAU
This 687-nucleotide unclassified non-coding RNA is filed under the name uncultured Prochlorococcus sp. RNAcentral's name for it is "partial may contain 16S ribosomal RNA, 16S-23S ribosomal RNA intergenic spacer, and 23S ribosomal RNA". The stretch from base 1 to 97 matches the Rfam family "Bacterial small subunit ribosomal RNA", at positions 1437 to 1533 of the family's 1533-position model. The record is from RNAcentral. Lineage: Bacteria; Bacillati; Cyanobacteriota; Cyanophyceae; Synechococcales; Prochlorococcaceae.